This 1001-nucleotide long non-coding RNA is filed under the name Gadus morhua (Atlantic cod). RNAcentral describes it as "lncRNA (ENSGMOG00000022987.1)". The record is from RNAcentral. Lineage: Eukaryota; Metazoa; Chordata; Actinopteri; Gadiformes; Gadidae.
ACGCUCUUGGUAUACGAUCUGGUGAAGAAGAGUUACCUGAGGAGGAAGACGGGGCUCUACGUGGUCCCCUGUCUGCAGCAGGAGUACAGCCUCCUGGAGGAGGGACGGGUGCUCCUGGGCCUGUCGGAGACCAGGUGAGACCAGGGGAACACACACACACACACCCCCAUGGCUCAGCUGGCAGGUGACCUCGUGCCCCGAUACCACAUGUCAAUUGGUUAACGGGGAGAUGCAAUGAAAAACGGGGGCGUUCUGUUGACAUUUAAAUCUCUUUUGUUAGAAAAGGUCAAAGGAUUUGCGUACUACAAACGACUGUGUAGCACUCAUUUAGUAACGGAAUUGCUUCGGAUUCAUUUAAUCGCCAAUUACUAAUUGCCUAAUAUAAGUCCACCAAACCAGGAUUUCACUUACCCUUGUUUGAGUGGCAGGUGAAAUCCUGUGGCUCAUUACAACCACAGCAAUAGGUUUAGGACCCGCCUCCUCACCAUCAAAUGCUGCCAUCGCUGCAGAUCUCAUACUGGGUGCGUCCCCCCUUCAAAACCAGAAGGGUUUUCAGGAGGUUGUGGGGCGUGUUGCAGGGAUCACCUGAUUCUGUGGGAUCUGGAGUCCGGCUACAUCAAGGAGCGGAUCAAACCCUCCCGCAAGGAGUCCCUUCUCUCCGGCGGCGUCUCGGGAGAGCCACAGCCUCCGACCACGGCCACCAAAGAGAAAACAAUGAUGCCGUGGGACUUCAGGACGGAGAGCCGUUCCUCCAGGGGCAGGCGGCUGGAGCGGGAGGCCCGGCGGGAGAGAGAGGAGCAGAGCCGGAUCGACAGGGAGAAGUACAACGCCAUCGACCAGUACCUCCUCAGCGGGGACAAGCAGGUUCACAGGCUGAUUCUAAUCGGGCUGAGUUCACCCCGGACAUUGUGAUGGUUAACGCUUUGGGAACUGAAAGUCUGUCCUCGUGUUUGAUGCACAGCAACACUGAUAUUUAUCUUUCCCUUUUUGUUUCAACAUAA